Long non-coding RNA from Serinus canaria (Common canary), 431 nucleotides. RefSeq lists it as uncharacterized. Lineage: Eukaryota; Metazoa; Chordata; Aves; Passeriformes; Fringillidae. The transcript is spliced from 3 exons. The record is from RefSeq and is a predicted model, not a curated record.
CCUGCCCUGCUCCCGGGGCUGGGUGUUUUUCCGCAAUUCCUGUUAUUUCUUCUCCGCCUUCGCCGCUCCCUGGGAAGAUUCCAGAACUUUCUGCUGGGCCCUGGGCGCGCGCCUGCUCGAGGUCGACGACGACGAGGAGAGGGCCCUGGUCCAGGCCCAGCUCCGGGGCCCGUCCUGGCUCGGGAUCCGCGACAGCGACAGCGAAGGGACCUGGACCCGCGGGGACGGCACCGCCCUGGGGGCCCACAGCAGUUUUUGGCAGCGGGGGGAACCCAACGGGGGCAGCCGGGAGAACUGCGCGGCCGUGGGGCUCGACGGGCUCUGGGCCGAUCGUCCCUGCGGGGAGCGGCUGAGCUGGGCCUGCGAGGGACCCUCCUGACCCCAAAUCCCCAGAAUUCACCCCAAAAUCCCCGGAAUUCACCCCAAAAUCC